This 705-nucleotide ribosomal RNA is filed under the name Leptohyalis scotti. RNAcentral describes it as "eukaryotic LSU rRNA". It matches the Rfam family "Eukaryotic large subunit ribosomal RNA", at positions 656 to 1368 of the family's 3401-position model. Lineage: Eukaryota; Foraminifera; Textulariida; Hormosinidae. The record is from RNAcentral.
GAAACACGGACCAAGGAGUUCAACUGGAUUGCAAGUCGUAGAGAUUUUAUUAUAACACAAAACUCAAACGGCAUAGCGAAAGCAAAAUUGUGUGAUUUAUAUUUUUAUUUAUUUAAAAUAUAAUGCAACACAGACUGUUUAAGUACACUCAUAGAGUCUAACUCUGUGAUGUGCGUAUUUUAUUUUCACGAAUUUAAUACGAGUAAACAAGUUAAAGAGCACUUUAGUUGAGACCCGAAAGAUGGUGAACUAUUCUCGGACAUGGUGAAGCCAGGUGAAAACUUGGUGGAAGCUUGCGUUGUGCGGAACUGACGUGCAAAUCGUUGCCGCCUGAACUGAGUAUAGGGGCGAAAGACUCAUCGAACCAUCUAGUAGCUGGUUCCCUCCGAAGUUUCCCUCAGGUUAGCUCGAAUUUAUAUAAACAAAACAAUGAGUAACAUAAGGGUAAAGCAAUGAGACGCGGUAUCUGUGGGUCUUAUUUAAUGACCUCGGCCUUCUCUCAAACUUUAAAUCUGUGCGAUCACUGCAUUUUACUUUAACUUUAAUCGCACUUUUUGUGUUGAUUAUUUUUGAAAUUGCGUGUUGUAUCUAAAAUUCGUAGUGGGCCAGUACUGGUAAGCAGAACUGGCGAUGAGGGAUUCAACCUGACGUUUUCAAGAUAAGCCGGGCUUAAUCAUAUCUGCUCCAACCUUCCGAUAAACGCGA